GCAGCUGUCGUCCAACAGUAGGACCCAAGAGCGCCACUCUUGAGAUGCGGGUGCGAUUCCCGCCGGUUGCU
RNAcentral lists this transfer RNA (71 nucleotides) under Myxococcales bacterium. RNAcentral describes it as "tRNA-Gly". It matches the Rfam family "tRNA". Rfam says of the family: Transfer RNA (tRNA) molecules are approximately 80 nucleotides in length. Their secondary structure includes four short double-helical elements and three loops (D, anti-codon, and T loops). Further hydrogen bonds mediate the characteristic L-shaped molecular structure. tRNAs have two regions of fundamental functional importance: the anti-codon, which is responsible for specific mRNA codon recognition, and the 3' end, to which the tRNAs corresponding amino acid is attached (by aminoacyl-tRNA synthetases). tRNAs cope with the degeneracy of the genetic code in two manners: having more than one tRNA (with a specific anti-codon) for a particular amino acid; and 'wobble' base-pairing, i.e. permitting non-standard base-pairing at the 3rd anti-codon position. RNAcentral also lists the same sequence under 1 other name. The record is from RNAcentral. Lineage: Bacteria; Pseudomonadati; Myxococcota; Myxococcia; Myxococcales.